This 391-nucleotide unclassified non-coding RNA is filed under the name soil metagenome. RNAcentral's name for it is "partial contains 5.8S ribosomal RNA, internal transcribed spacer 2, and large subunit ribosomal RNA". The stretch from base 1 to 122 matches the Rfam family "5.8S ribosomal RNA", at positions 35 to 154 of the family's 154-position model. The record is from RNAcentral.
GAUGAAGAACGUAGUGAAAUGCGAUACUUGGUGUGAAUUGCAGAAUCCCGUGAACCAUCGAGUCUUUGAACGCAAGUUGCGCCCGAAGCCAUUAGGCCGAGGGCACGCCUGCCUGGGCGUCACACGUCGUUGCCCCCCCAUCUACUCCUUCGGGAUUGCGGGGGGCGGAUGAUGGCCUCCCGUGCGCCUCGUCGCGCGGUUGGCAUAAAUGCCAAGUCCUCGGCGACGCACGCCCCGACAAUCGGUGGUUGCGAAACCUCGGUUGCCCGUCGUGUGCGGUCGUCGCGCAUCGAGGGCUCGAAAAAAUUGUCGGGCUCCGGCUCGGCUUUCAACGCGACCCCAGGUCAGGCGGGGUUACCCGCUGAAUUUAAGCAUAUCAAUAAGCGGAGGA